AUACGGAGGGUGCAAGCGUUACUCGGAAUCACUGGGCGUAAAGCGCGCGCAGGCGGCUAUUUAAGUUGGAUGUGAAAGCCUAUGGCUCAACCAUAGAACUGCAUCCAAAACUAUUUAGCUAGAGUGUGGGAGAGGAAGAUGGAAUUAGUUGUGUAGGGGUAAAAUCCGUAGAGAUUACUAGGAAUACCAAAAGCGAAGGCGAUCUUCUGGAACAGUACUGACGCUGAGAUGCGAAAGCGUGGGGAGCAAACAGGAUUAGAUACCCUAGUAGUCC
Molecule: ribosomal RNA, 274 nt
Filed under: uncultured bacterium
Lineage: Bacteria
Description: partial 16S ribosomal RNA
Rfam family: Bacterial small subunit ribosomal RNA
Source: RNAcentral